This 495-nucleotide ribosomal RNA is filed under the name uncultured bacterium. Its description in RNAcentral is "partial 16S ribosomal RNA". It matches the Rfam family "Bacterial small subunit ribosomal RNA", at positions 29 to 506 of the family's 1533-position model. The record is from RNAcentral.
AUGAACGCUGGCGGCGUGCCUAAUACAUGCAAGUCGAGCGAACAGACGAGGAGCUUGCUCCUCUGACGUUAGCGGCGGACGGGUGAGUAACACGUGGAUAACCUACCUAUAUGACUGGGAUAACUUCGGGAAACCGGAGCUAAUACCGGAUAAUAUAUUGAACCGCAUGGUUCAAUAGUGAAAGACGGUUUUGCUGUCACUUAUAGAUGGAUCCGCGCCGCAUUGGCUAGUUGGUAAGGUAACGGCUUACCAAGGCAACGAUGCGUAGCCGACCUGAGAGGGUGAUCGGCCACACUGGAACUGAGACACGGUCCAGGCUCCUACGGGAGGCAGCAGUAGGGAAUCUUCCGCACUGGGCGAAAGCCUGACGGAGCAACGCAGCGUGAGUGAUGAAGGUCUGCGGAUCGUAAAACUCUGUUAUUAAGGAAGAACAAAUGUGUAAGUAACUAUGCACGUCUUGACGGGACCUAAUCAGAAAGCCACGGCUAACUACGU